GUUGAUUGAAUGCUCUUAACACGGAGAGAUGCCCUGUACAGACUUUUGGGGAACUGGGUACUGAUGAACCCGAACAGGAGUUGCUUCUGGUUUUAAUUCUGCUACUACUGGUGCAUGAUUUACAGCUAAACCAGAGAGGAGUCUGCAAUGCCGAGUGGAGGAAGGAGGAACCGGAGUGUGAGCAGUAGCUGGGUGGGCAGCAUGGCUGGGAUCACCACCAUCGAGGCAGUGAAGCGCAAGAUCCAGGUUCUGCAGCACCAGGCAGAUGAUGCAGAGGAGUGAGCUGAGCACCUCCAGUGAGAAGCUGAGGGAAAAAGGUGGGCCUGGGAACAGGCAGAGGCUGAAGUGGCCUCCGUGAACGGUAGGAUCCAGCUGGUUGAAGAGGAGCUGGACUGUGCUCAGGAGCGCCUGGCCACUGCCCUGCAAAAGCUGGAAGAAGCGGGAAAAGCUGCUGAUGAGAGUGAGAGAGAUACAAAGGUUAUUGAAAU
RNAcentral lists this long non-coding RNA (488 nucleotides) under Homo sapiens (human). RNAcentral's name for it is "non-protein coding lnc-ZNF761-5:3". The record is from RNAcentral. Lineage: Eukaryota; Metazoa; Chordata; Mammalia; Primates; Hominidae.